This 432-nucleotide ribosomal RNA is filed under the name uncultured bacterium. RNAcentral describes it as "partial 16S ribosomal RNA". It matches the Rfam family "Bacterial small subunit ribosomal RNA", at positions 29 to 506 of the family's 1533-position model. The record is from RNAcentral.
AACGAACGCUGGCGGCAUGCCUAACACAUGCAAGUCGAACGAGACCUUCGGGUCUAGUGGCGCACGGGUGCGUAACGCGUGGGAACCUGCCCUUAGGUUCGGAAUAACUCCCCGAAAGGGGUGCUAAUACCGGAUAAUGUCUUCGGACCAAAGAUUUAUCGCCUUUGGAUGGGCCCGCGUUGGAUUAGCUAGUUGGUAGGGUAAAAGCCUACCAAGGCGACGAUCCAUAGCUGGUCUGAGAGGAUGAUCAGCCACACUGGGACUGAGACACGGCCCAGACUCCUACGGGAGGCAGCAGUGGGGAAUAUUGGACAAUGGGCGAAAGCCUGAUCCAGCAAUGACGCGUGAGUGAUGAAGGCCUUAGGGUUGUAAAGCUCUUUUACCCGGGAUGAUAAUGACAGUACCGGGAGAAUAAGCUCCGGCUAACUCCGU